RNA transcript from Anopheles stephensi (Asian malaria mosquito), 6391 nucleotides. It is a transcript of the gene named JNK-interacting protein 3, with no coding region annotated. NCBI's taxonomy places the organism in Eukaryota, Metazoa, Arthropoda, Insecta, Diptera, Culicidae. The transcript has 11 exons. The record is from RefSeq and is a predicted model, not a curated record.
AUUUCACGAGACGUGUGUGCUUGCGCGCGUGUGUGUGUGUUUUCUUCAAGGAUGACGAUGAUAAUAACGAGGGUGUUGUGAAAACGAAAAACGAAUUACGGAAUAAAUUCUGCGUGUGCGACAUCUUUCGUGUGUUUUGUUCGUUCCCUUCUGUUGGCACUGCACCCUAGCCCUAGCAGUCACCUUCGCAGCCGUGUAAAAGUUCACAAAAAUCGCCCCGUGUUCCCCGUUUGCACACACAGUUCGCGACUGCGUCACAUAUUUGCUGUGCGUGCAUGAUUUGUUCAUACUGCUGAAGCUUUGUUCCGAGCAAAGCAGAGUGUUUCAGUGUGUGGCCAGCUUGCCAAUCAUCCUGGCAUCGGAGUGACGACAAAAAACAUGAUGACAAAGGUGACGAAAGCUAGCGCGGAACUGGUCGGGCAACAGCGAUCGAUUCCCGUGGCCAACUGCCCGUCAUGUUUCCCUCAUUAAGGAUGCAGCUCUGUGCGUAAUCAGCGUCAAUCGCUUCGUGUUUAUACUUAGUGCGAGUGAAGGGGAGGGGGGGUACCAAAGGGGGACAAGGGCAAGUGGCAAAAAGCAUAACGCAGCAAGCAGCAAGGAUGGAGAACAAUCCGGGCGAAUCGUCGGAGGUCGUGUACGGCACGCACGAAGACUCCGCAAUGGUGAUGUCAGAAAAGGUGCAAUCUCUAGCCGGGAGCAUUUACCAGGAAUUCGAACGUAUGAUUCAACGGUACGAUGAGGACGUGGUGAAAACGCUGAUGCCACUGCUCGUGAACGUGCUCGAAUGUCUCGAUUCGGCGUACCAAACCAACCAGGAGCAGGACGUCGAGCUGGAACUGCUGCGCGAGGACAACGAGCAGCUGGUAACGCAGUACGAGCGCGAGAAGAAUGCCCGCAAGCAGUCGGAGCAGAAGCUGCUCGAGACGGAAGAUUUGGCCGAGCAGGAGAACAAAGAGCUGGCCAGCCGGCUCGAGUCGCUGGAAAGCAUCGUGCGCAUGCUGGAGCUCAAGCACAAGAACAGCAUGGACCAUGCCAGCCGGCUCGAGGAGCGCGAGUCCGAGCUGAAGAAAGAGUACAGCAAGCUGCACGAACGCUACACGGAACUGUUCAAAACACACGUCGACUACAUGGAACGGACCAAGCUGAUGAUGGGCAACUCGACGCACUCGCAGGCCGGCUCAGCCUCCGAACGGCUGGACGUUUCCCGGUCCCGCCUGAUGCCGAUGAUGCGCUCCACCGGUCCCGUCUCGUACGGGUUUGCUUCGCUGGAAAAUUCUACCAUGCUCGAUACGGAAACGCUUUGCAGCGAGGAGGACAGUGGGCCCGAUUCGGGGCCACCUUCGCUGCAGAAUGAAAUCGAAACGAAGGCUACGGAAAAGGUGGAAGAGGUGGAUUCGGCAACGACGGCACCGGCCGACGGGAUGGCAACGAGCUCAACCACCGCCAAGGUGCUGCAGAGCCCAACCAGCGGCGGUGGCGGUGUGUCGGGCAAAACGACCACCAAGAAAGAGCAACGGUCGGCCAACACGCUUUAUCAGGAGCUGUCGUUUCAGGACGAUAAUUUGGAGAGUGAAGAGAACGAAAUUACCGGUGCCUGGGUGCAUCCGGGCGAUUACGCUUCAUCAGCUAACGAUAACUUUUUCGGUAUGGGCAAAGAGGUCGAAAACUUGAUCAUGGAAAACAAUGAGCUGCUAGCGACCAAGAACGCACUGAACAUCGUGAAAGACGAUCUGAUAGUGAAGGUGGACGAGCUGACCGGUGAAAUCGAAAUCCUCCGGGAGGAGCUGAACGCGGUCAUACUGGCGCGCAACAAGCUGAAGGCGAAGGUGACCGAGCUGGAGGAGGAGCUGAAGAAAACGAAAGCCCAGGUGAAGCAGGCGUCCGCGUCGGCCACCGACCAGGAGGAGGAGGGCGACGUCCCGAUGGCACAGCGCAAACGGUUCACGCGCGUGGAGAUGGCGCGCGUACUGAUGGAGCGCAACCAGUACAAGGAGCGGUUCAUGGAGCUGCAGGAUGCGGUACGCUGGACGGAGAUGAUGCGCGCCUCGCGGGUGGAAAACCUGGACAAGAAGUCGAAGCAAGGCAUUUGGAAGUUUUUUAGUAAUCUCUUUAGCUCCAACGAUAGGCCAACGAAUGAGUCCCCCGGGCGCCUUCACCAGCGCUAUGGUGGCGUGAGUGCGCAGUCGCAAGCGCACGGUGCCGCCUCGCUGCUGCCUGCCAUGCCCGAGGGACGAAUGCUCAUUGGGGCAGGCCAGAGUGGUGGCAGCGGUGGUGGUGGUGGUGGUGGUAUCGGUAUCGGCGGUCUCGGUGCCGGUUCCUCGACUGCCCUUUUACGCAGUGGCCAUGCAAGCAACAUACUGGUGCUAUCGAAAGAACCGGAACUGACGCAAUCGGAGCGUGCGAUGCAGCGACGCCGCGACCAGUACCGGCAGGUGCGGGCACACGUCCAGAAGGAGGACGGCCGGCUGCAGGCGUACGGUUGGAGUUUACCUAGUCUAAAACCAUCGAACGGUGCGGGAGCGAACGGUGGCAUUGGGGGUGGCGGUAUCGGAGGUGUGGGGCGUCCGACCGGUAGCGGAGUGCCGGUGCCGGUUCCCGUAUACUGUCGCCCGCUGGCCGAGGCUAGUCCGCACAUGAAGGUGUGGUGUGCCAGUGGCGUUAAUCUGCAGGGCGGCUACACUAAGGACGGUGGGUGUAUCGUUGGAGCGGCCAGCAUAUUUUAUUCGAAAGACACAACCGGCGGCGGUGCGCAGAUCACCGAGCUUACCGGUGAUGAGGCCACGGUGGAACCGAAAGAUUUGGGCGAACUGCUGGAGCGGAAGCUACUCGCGCUGGGCGGUCCGAAUUCGCUCGAUGCGGACAGCGAGCUUAGCUCGUACGUGUGGAUCUGCACCAGCACGCAUUCGGCCAGCACGGUGACGGUGAUCGACGCUAAAAAUCCGUCGGAAGUGCUGGAUUCGUUCCCGGUGUGCCAGAACCAUCUGCUGUGCAUCUGUACGGUGCGCGGUGCGCUGGAAAUGGACUACGCAAUGCUGGAAAACAGCGAAGUUACCAAAUCGGGUAAAAUGCUAGAAAAACCCGGCGAAUCUCCUGACGACAUCGGUAAAGUGUCGUACGAAAAGGUGGUCCGCACGGUCGCCGAAUCGGCGGCUGCUCCUUCGGCAGACGAAAGCAAACUUACGGAACAAGCACAAGAAGCGGUACCACCAGCCGAUACAAGACCGGAACAAGCGACCGAACCUAACACGGAUCGUGAUCUGAACCAUAACAGCAAGCAGUCCUCAAACGAAGCUGCAGAUAGCACCGACGUAGACACGAAAGAGGUGGCGAUCGCGGUGGACGGUAAUGAUAAUACGAUCGAGGGCGAAACGACCGCCUCGCCCGGCAGGGAGCAGUCUGCGGCGGCGAUCGAAGAAUCCAUCUCUUCCAUCGGACCGACCAUGUGGCUCGGCGCGCAGAACGGUAUGCUGUACGUGCACAGUUCCGUCGCCCGGUGGAACGUGUGUCUGCACAAGAUCAAACUGCCCGACUCGGUGCUCUCGAUCGUGCACGUAGAGUCGCGUGUGAUCGUUGCGCUGGCGAACGGCACGCUGGCAGUAUUCCGCCGACAGGUGAACGGCGAAUGGGAUCUGAACAGCUACCAUCUGCUAACGCUCGGUUCGCCGAAGUAUUCCGUGCGCUGUUUGACGAUUGUCGGCGAUAAGGUUUGGGCGGCGCACCGUAACAAGAUUCACGUGAUCGAUCCCAUCACGCUGUGCAUACUGAAAUCGUUCGAAGCGCACCCACGGAAGGAAAGCCAGAUCCGUCAGAUGGCAACAACGGGGCUGGGUGUGUGGGUAUCUAUAAGAUUGGACUCGACUCUAAGGCUGUUUUCGGCGGAAACGUACGACCAUCUGGAAGACAUCGAUAUCGAUCCGUACGUGUCGAAGAUGCUGGGCACUGGAAAGCUCGGCUUUUCCUUUGUGCGCAUUACCGCACUGCUGGUAUCGUGCAACAGGCUGUGGAUAGGAACGGGCAACGGUGUGGUAAUUUCCGUACCACUGACUGACGCUAGCGGCGCUUCCAAUACACCGUACUCGCCGCGCUUCGCCAACGCUCAACUUUCGUUCCAUGGGCACCGUGACGCAGUGAAGUUUUUCGUGUCGGUGCCGAUGAACCCACCCAACCAGGGGUUACCGACCACUUCGAAGGAUAUGCUGGUAAUAUCCGGCGGAGAAGGAUACAUCGAUUUCCGGUUAGAAGAAAUAGUAGAAGAUGUAUGCGAUUCCGCAACACACUUAUUAGUUUGGCGUGUUAGUUCAUCGUACGAUGAUUUGUCUGUUUGUAGCUAAAGGUUUAUGUACAUUUUCUAAGCGAAAGAAAGUAUAUGGCCUACUCCCACCACCACCACCACCACCACCACCCAUCCAACCCCCAAAAGCAACCGCUCGGUUCAAAUUGCGUCCAAUUGCGAAAGUCAGUCCCAUUACGAAACGAACACGUAUCGGCAUGAUGCACACCCACACUCUGCCUAUAGUUCUCGAACAUGUUGUAUUUGCAAAUGAAAGGUGACGGUGAUAUGGAGGCCAGCGUUGAGCUAGAACCGAACCAAACCAUAGAGAAUCGCAACGAGAAAAGCUACAUAAUCGUGUGGAAAGUCAGCAAUCGCUAAGCUCACGCCAGUAUGUGAUCCAUGCUUACCAGCGAGAACAAAUUGACCUUCUUGUACCCCACACUACACUAAACCAUACCCUACCCACUAACUCUAACCACACUCUGGUGCAUCGAUGGAUGGAAGGAUCGAGCGAAAGUUACACACAACAUGAGUGGCAUCCAAAGGGAAGAAGGUGAUGGGGCGCUAAAGCGCAUUGGAUCCGGGAUUAGCGAAGCUGAUAAUGAAACAAGUAUUCUAGUGUGUUCCAGGUUUGUGCCGGCUGUUCUUUUUAACGCGUUGUGCAGCGGUAGUCAGGUUCAGUUUUGCAUAAAGUAAUACUGCGCUAAAAGGGAAGGCUAACCCGAAUGCGGUUAGCGAUAAAGCGUAAGCGUAACACUUGUUUAAAGGAAACAUUUUUUAUGUAGCGACUCUUCUGCUCGAGACGCUCCGGCGGCUCGGAGGAUCAGCUUCGAAUUAUAUUAGCAGACAUACGGCUAAGUUAAUUUGAAUGUUUGCCGGACAGUAGACACGAUGGUAGCCAACCAACCAACCGAUAAUAAUUCCCUGUCCCCCCCACCCUUUUUCCUGCCCCCCCUAACACGCCAAAGAAUAAGUUUAGUAGAGCGUUUUAGUAGCCCCUUUCAAUGAAGGACACAAGACGGAAUACACACACACAUUAUUAACACAAGUCGGACAAAAGCUCUAUACCCACUCAUAUAAAUAUUAUUACGUUCGCAAACAGAAAUGGUUUUGUUUUGUGUUGUCAGCAACAACACAUUACCAUUAAUAUUUAUCUCUAAAGUAGUAGUAACUAAUACGGCGAGCUAGUGAGGUAGUGGCGAGGAGGCAAAACAACAAAAAAACCAAUGGAACACGUACACAAAGAUUGCAAUUCCUAGCUUGUGCUGCAACGCAUUAACAAAAGCAUAGUUACAAAAAAGCGCGAAAAUUCUUCCUUUCCCCCUUUUAGUAGUUUUAUUGUUAGGGAUCGGUGAACCCAUUUUAACUUGUGUACAUAUUACAGUGUUAUAUUGCUGAGUUGUAUUUAAUUUCGUGUGCAGUAGCAAGUCAUCGUUUUUGCACCUGUCGUGUAUGGUUAGUCAUUUUAACGGUGUUGUACGUUUAAGCUUGUUUUAUUGUUUUAUUCUUAUUUUUAUCUAGCACAGAACCCAUCCAGUCGAACGUUUUAUCGAUCAGGCAGGGCUAGAAAGCGAGCGAGCGUGGGAGAGAAAGUAACAAAAAACACACACACACACACACACACGCUGCAGUCACAACAGGACAGGUUGGGUAAUUGAAAACCUCUGUAAAUGAAUGUAGUAAGCGAAGCCUACUUUACCUUACGGUACACAAAUGUUUAACGUUAAUGUCUUCAGUUGACAUUUUGUUUUGAAAAAAAUGCAGUGCAGCAGUGCAAUCCCGGUUUUCAACUUCAUAAUCAAAUGCUACCAAUUUAGAUAAAAAAAAGCCGCGUGCGAUGCUAUUGUGCUGCAGCUCUCCCUCUCUUAUACAGCUUUGCAGCUGCGUAGCUGCCACAUGCAUCCGCUCUAUCUAGCAGCAGCAAGGUUUUAAUUUGUUCGAAUAUUGCGUCAAAUAGUUUGUGUUAGUGGCGGAUGUAUCGCUUUCAUUCAAACACACCCGCGAGAUCGAAAGUGUGCGAUCGAAAGUUCGUAUGAUGUAAAGGAAAAACAAAACUACUCCCUCCCCCCGCCCCAUUUGAAAGACAAAGCAAAAUACAAGUAACCAAUGCAUUAAUAA